GACGAACGCUGGCGGCGUGCUUAACACAUGCAAGUCGAACGGUAAGGCCCUUCGGGGUACACGAGUGGCGAACGGGUGAGUAACACGUGGGUGAUCUGCCCUGCACUUCGGGAUAAGCCUGGGAAACUGGGUCUAAUACCGGAUAGGACUCCUGGCUUCAUGGUUGGGGGUGGAAAGCUUUUGCGGUGUGGGAUGGGCCCGCGGCCUAUCAGCUUGUUGGUGGGGUAAUGGCCUACCAAGGCGACGACGGGUAGCCGGCCUGAGAGGGUGACCGGUCACACUGGGACUGAGAUACGGCCCAGACUCCUACGGGAGGCAGCAGUGGGGAAUAUUGCACAAUGGGCGCAAGCCUGAUGCAGCGACGCCGCGUGAGGGAUGACGGCCUUCGGGUUGUAAACCUCUUUCAGAGAGAACGAAGCGCAAGUGACGGUAGUAGCAGAAGAAGGACCGGCCAACUACGUGACAGCAGCCGCCGCAG
RNAcentral lists this ribosomal RNA (478 nucleotides) under uncultured bacterium. Its description in RNAcentral is "partial 16S ribosomal RNA". It matches the Rfam family "Bacterial small subunit ribosomal RNA", at positions 28 to 523 of the family's 1533-position model. The record is from RNAcentral.